UAGGGAAUAUUGGACAAUGGGUGCAAGCCUGAUCCAGCCAUGCCGCGUGCAGGAAGAAGGCCUUCUGGGUUGUAAACUGCUUUUGCCAGGGGAUAAAAGGCCCGUGCGCGGGAAAUUGAAGGUACCGGGUGAAUAAGCCACGGCUAACUACGUGCCAGCAGCCGCGGUAAUACGUAGGUGGCAAGCGUUGUCCGGAUUUAUUGGGUUUAAAGGGUGCGUAGGCGGUCCUGUAAGUCAGUGCUGAAAUAUCCCGGCUUAACCGGGAGGGUGGCAUUGAUACUGCGGGACUUGGGUAAAGUUGAGGUAGGCGGAAUUGACGGUGUAGCGGUGAAAUGCUUAGAUAUCGUCAAGAACACCUAUAGCGAAGGCAGCUCACUAAGCUUUAACUGACGCUGAGGCACGAAAGUGUGGGGAUCAAA
RNAcentral lists this ribosomal RNA (419 nucleotides) under uncultured bacterium. RNAcentral's name for it is "bacterial SSU rRNA". It matches the Rfam family "Bacterial small subunit ribosomal RNA", at positions 355 to 772 of the family's 1533-position model. The record is from RNAcentral.